UGGGGAAUUUUCCGCAAUGGGCGAAAGCCUGACGGAGCAAUGCCGCGUGGAGGUGGAAGGCCUACGGGUCGUCAACUUCUUUUUCUCGGAGAAGAAACAAUGACGGUAUCUGAGGAAUAAGCAUCGGCUAACUCUGUGCUAG
RNAcentral lists this ribosomal RNA (142 nucleotides) under uncultured bacterium. RNAcentral describes it as "partial 16S rRNA". It matches the Rfam family "Bacterial small subunit ribosomal RNA", at positions 355 to 511 of the family's 1533-position model. The record is from RNAcentral.